RNAcentral lists this transfer RNA (72 nucleotides) under Toxocara canis (dog roundworm). It matches the Rfam family "tRNA". From Rfam's summary of the family: Transfer RNA (tRNA) molecules are approximately 80 nucleotides in length. Their secondary structure includes four short double-helical elements and three loops (D, anti-codon, and T loops). Lineage: Eukaryota; Metazoa; Nematoda; Chromadorea; Rhabditida; Toxocaridae. The record is from Rfam by way of RNAcentral.
GUGGUAUUAGCUUGGUGAUAGAGCCCUCGCUUCGUACGCGGGAUGAUCCGGGUUCGAUUCCCGGCUGCUUUC